RNAcentral lists this ribosomal RNA (823 nucleotides) under uncultured bacterium. RNAcentral's name for it is "bacterial SSU rRNA". It matches the Rfam family "Bacterial small subunit ribosomal RNA", at positions 28 to 896 of the family's 1533-position model. The record is from RNAcentral.
GGCGAACGCUGGCGGCAGGCUUAACACAUGCAAGUCGAGCGGGCGUAGCAAUACGUCAGCGGCAGACGGGUGAGUAACGCGUGGGAACAUACCUUUUGGUUCGGAACAACACAGGGAAACUUGUGCUAAUACCAGAUAAGCCCUUACGGGGAAAGAUUUAUCGCCGAAAGAUUGGCCCGCGUCUGAUUAGCUAGUUGGUGAGGUAACGGCUCACCAAGGCGACGACCAGUAGCUGGUCUGAGAGGAUGAUCAGCCACAUUGGGACUGAGACACGGCCCAAACUCCUACGGGAGGCAGCAGUGGGGAAUAUUGGACAAUGGGCGCAAGCCUGAUCCAGCCAUGCCGCGUGAGUGAUGAAGGCCCUAGGGUUGUAAAGCUCUUUUGUGCGGGAAGAUAAUGACGGUACCGCAAGAAUAAGCCCCGGCUAACUUCGUGCCAGCAGCCGCGGUAAUACGAAGGGGGCUAGCGUUGCUCGGAAUCACUGGGCGUAAAGGGUGCGUAGGCGGGUCUUUAAGUCAGGGGUGAAAUCCUGGAGCUCAACUCCAGAACUGCCUUUGAUACUGAGGAUCUUGAGUUCGGGAGAGGUGAGUGGAACUGCGAGUGUAGAAGUGAAAUUCGUAGAUAUUCGGAAGAACACCAGUGGCGAAGGCGACUCACUGGCCCAUUACUGACGCUGAGGCGCGAAAGCGUGGGGAGCAAACAGGAUUAGAUACCCUGGUAGUCCACGCUGUAAACGAUGAGUGCUAGUUGUCGGCAUGCAUGCAUGUCGGUGACGCAGCUAACGCAUUAAGCACUCCGCCUGGGGAGUACGGUCGCAAGAUAA